GAACAGAUAAAGUUGGCUGGCUGUUUGCUCCCAUUGUGCUACUAUGGUUUCUCUUAAUUGGGGGCAUUGGCAUAUUCAACAUCUGGAAGUAUGAUAGCAGUGUUCUGAAAGCUUUUUCACCUGUAUAUGUUUAUCGGUAUUUAAGAAGGGGUGGUAAAGAGCGUUGGACCUCCCUUGGAGGUAUUUUGCUUAGUAUAACAGGCACAGAGGCCCUUUUUGCAGACUUAGCCCAUUUUCCAGUUUCAGCUAUACAGCUUGCUUUUACAAUGGUUGUAUUUCCAUGCCUUCUUUCAGCCUAUUCUGGACAAGCUGCUUAUCUUAUGCAGAACUCAGAC
This 335-nucleotide unclassified non-coding RNA is filed under the name Hevea brasiliensis (rubber tree). The record is from RNAcentral. Lineage: Eukaryota; Viridiplantae; Streptophyta; Magnoliopsida; Malpighiales; Euphorbiaceae.